GUACACACCGCCCGUCACACCAUGGGAGUGGGUUGCACCAGAAGCAGGUAGUCUAACCGCAAGGAGGGCGCUUGCCACGGUGGGAUUCAUGACUGGGGUGAAGUCGUAACAAGGUAGCCGUAGGUGAACCUGCAGAAGGAUCA
This 143-nucleotide ribosomal RNA is filed under the name uncultured eukaryote. RNAcentral describes it as "partial small subunit ribosomal RNA". It matches the Rfam family "Bacterial small subunit ribosomal RNA", at positions 1383 to 1525 of the family's 1533-position model. The record is from RNAcentral.